GUUAGGAAUCAGGUGAACUAAGUCUCCUAGAAUGUGGGUCUCUAGAAACCUAAUGCUCUGGAGUGUGCUACAGCUGGGCGGAUGACAAUUAGAUUCUCCCAAGUAGUUCUCUAGGAGCAAUUGGACCCAAGUUCUCUCCUCUUCUGGCUCAGUUCCUGACUGACUUCACUGUCAUGCCUCAGUUGUCUCUUUCUUGCCUCCAGCGUCCUCCUGCAAUUGAUGAGGUUCCUUCUGGAACGUCCAUUUGAGUACAACUUAUUAAGCCUACCUGACUAAAACAGUAACCACAGAGGGACUCAGAGAAUCUCAGAGUUGGAAGAGAAUCAUAGAUCACAGAUUUCAAUCUGGAAGAGACCUCAGAAGUCAUCUAGUCCAACUUCAUCAUUUCAUAUAUAAGGAAUAACUAAGGACCAAGAGAAUCAAAAUCAGGUACAAAGAACAACCAACAACCAGGCUUUUUGGAACCACAUUUGCACUCAUCCUUGGUUCUAUCCACUAUACUGCCUACCUAUCUCAUAAUAAUAGCUAGCAUUUAUAGAGUGCCUACUAUGUUCUAGGUCCUGUGCUAAGCACUUUACAAAUACAAUAUCAUGUGACCUCACAGUAACAAUGGUGUUUACAAAUGAAUACAAUUUGUUCAAAGACUAGGUCCUAGUCAAAUUGAUCCCAUGUAUGCAUUUAUUUAUUUGUUUGUUGUUUGUUUAUUUAUUCAUUCAUUUAUAUUUACAUACACACAUAAAGCAAAUUAAAGGAACAACUUCUCACAUCCCUUCUGUCUAAAAUGCCCAAGCAGAGAACUUUUGCCAACAGAGCCAGCGGAACACGAAAAAAAUGCAUCCUCAGUAGUAUCUGACUAUCAGAUGAUGGGGACUCAUUUCAGAUAUUUCCAUCUUUACUCAGGCUGUAGAGGGUUACAUUGAUGCCCUGCUUGCAAAUUCAAGAAUAUGCAAAUUCUGCAAGAAGAGUCUUCUUAAGAGAGUAUUUGGCUCAAAAUCUAUUAGAAUGAAGCCCCAGAACUGUCAUAGCAGUUCAAAUAACCUGGCAUCAGUGAUCUUGAUUCUUCCUAUGACAGUGAAACCCCUGAGUUACACCAUAUUCACAUGGUUAAUGGCAAGAUUCUUUGGGAUACUGCCAUGAGUACAAAAUGGAAGGUGACUCCAGGCAUGGUGUAUCAAUAAUCAAGAAAUAGUUCCUGCACAGUAUUUUCUCACAAGACUCAUUUGCAAUGACUACCUAGUCAGUACUAUUGGAAGCUGUGUUGUAAAUAUGCAAUAAAAAUAAUAG
Monodelphis domestica (gray short-tailed opossum) is the source of this 1284-nucleotide non-coding RNA. NCBI's taxonomy places the organism in Eukaryota, Metazoa, Chordata, Mammalia, Didelphimorphia, Didelphidae. The record is from RefSeq and is a predicted model, not a curated record.